RNAcentral lists this ribosomal RNA (934 nucleotides) under Staphylococcus haemolyticus. RNAcentral describes it as "bacterial SSU rRNA". It matches the Rfam family "Bacterial small subunit ribosomal RNA", at positions 56 to 969 of the family's 1533-position model. Lineage: Bacteria; Bacillati; Bacillota; Bacilli; Caryophanales; Staphylococcaceae. The record is from RNAcentral.
UGCAGUCGAGCGACAGAUAACGUGUAGCUUGCUCCUUUGACGUUAGCGGCGGACGGGUGAGUAACACGUGGGUAACCUACCUAUAAGACUGGGAUAACUUCGGGAAACCGGAGCUAAUACCGGAUAAUAUUUCGAACCGCAUGGUUCGAUAGUGAAAGAUGGUUUUGCUAUCACUUAUAGAUGGACCCGCGCCGUAUUAGCUAGUUGGUAAGGUAACGGCUUACCAAGGCGACGAUACGUAGCCGACCUGAGAGGGUGAUCGGCCACACUGGAACUGAGACACGGUCCAGACUCCUACGGGAGGCAGCAGUAGGGAAUCUUCCGCAAUGGGCGAAAGCCUGACGGAGCAACGCCGCGUGAGUGAUGAAGGUCUUCGGAUCGUAAAACUCUGUUAUUAGGGAAGAACAUACGUGUAAGUAACUGUGCACGUCUUGACGGUACCUAAUCAGAAAGCCACGGCUAACUACGUGCCAGCAGCCGCGGUAAUACGUAGGUGGCAAGCGUUAUCCGGAAUUAUUGGGCGUAAAGCGCGCGUAGGCGGUUUUUUAAGUCUGAUGUGAAAGCCCACGGCUCAACCGUGGAGGGUCAUUGGAAACUGGAAAACUUGAGUGCAGAAGAGGAAAGUGGAAUUCCAUGUGUAGCGGUGAAAUGCGCAGAGAUAUGGAGGAACACCAGUGGCGAAGGCGACUUUCUGGUCUGUAACUGACGCUGAUGUGCGAAAGCGUGGGGAUCAAACAGGAUUAGAUACCCUGGUAGUCCACGCCGUAAACGAUGAGUGCUAAGUGUUAGGGGGUUUCCGCCCCUUAGUGCUGCAGCUAACGCAUUAAGCACUCCGCCUGGGGAGUACGACCGCAAGGUUGAAACUCAAAGGAAUUGACGGGGACCCGCACAAGCGGNGGAGCAUGUGGGUUUAAUUCGAAGCAACGCGNAAGAA